UCUUCUUCGUUUCUUCUCCUCCUCCACCAUCCUCUCCACUGCAGCCCCUGGAGCCACCGCCCACCACUCCCAGCACCGCCACCUCCUCCACUACCUCGACGAGUUCGGCGAUUGCGGUGCGAGCGCGGCUGUCGACCCAUCCAUCUCCUUCGAGAACCCUCGCUUCGGCCACGCCUACAUGCUCUCAUCCAGUAUCCCAGCCGCUUCCUUCGAUGAAGCGACUUCAAUCUCUGUCGAGAGCUCUUCGAUUGUUGCUACGGAAUCAAGAUUUCCUCAUCGAUCUGCCUUCUCCAUCGCUCUCCUAACACCGAAAGCCAUCACUAGAGAGCAAGGGAUUCAUCAUACACGCACUGGACCAAACGAAGAAGUUCUCGAUAGAAGCGAUUUCCCUUCGAGUCGGACUCGCAAUUUCAGACGAAUCGAUUCUGGUGGCUGUGGCUCUCGUUGAUAGAAGUUUCAUGGCCGCCGCUCACUUUCUCGAUUUCACCCUGUUCCGUGGCCGAGAGCAUUGAAGUGGUUAAAUCUCGGUUGAAACUUCCUCACUUGUGUCCAUAUUCAAUGACAACGAAUUACUGGACCUCUUGCUGUCAGUUGAUUGAUGAUGGUGAUCAGUGUCACUUGUGCUCGAUUCUCUUGAGAUCUACGCUAUAAUUGGAUGAUUUGUGAUGGCUCUAUGAUUCUAGCGCUGAUUUCAGUAAUUCCAGAUGAAAACAUGGCUUCGAUUCCAUAGCCUGAGUCAAUCUUGUUGUUGCACAUAUACUAUUUGACAAAAUACCUCAAAGGCAUGUCUGAGAAAUAACACAGGAUAUUAUCCAAUAUGAGAAUUUGCUGACACAGUUUACUUGUUUCCAGUUAAUUUGUUGAGAAUUUGAAGAUGAUUCUCGUUGUAAUUCAUCAUUAUCGAAUCUGAGCACAUGUUUUUCUC
Molecule: long non-coding RNA, 925 nt
Organism: Syzygium oleosum
Lineage: Eukaryota; Viridiplantae; Streptophyta; Magnoliopsida; Myrtales; Myrtaceae
Exons: 2
Source: RefSeq, a predicted model, not a curated record